ACUGGGACUGAGACACGGCCCAGACUCCUACGGGAGGCAGCAGCUAAGAAUCUUCCGCAAUGGGCGAAAGCCUGACGGAGCGACGCCGCGUGAACGAGGAAGGCCGAAAGGUUGUAAAGUUCUUUUCUUAGGGAAGAAUAAUGCAAGGAGUGGAAAGCUUUGCAGAUGACAUUAACUGAGGAAUAAGCCCCGGCCAAUUACGUGCCAGCAGCCGCGGUAAUACGUAUGGGGCGAGCGUUGCUCGGAAUUAUUGGGCGUAAAGGGCGUGUAGGCGGUUUUAUAAGCCUGGUGUGAAAUACCACAGCUCAACUGUGGAUACGCGCUGGGAACUGUAAGACUAGAGUUCAGGAGGGGAAGCUGGAAUUCCUGGUGUAGGGGUGAAAUCUGUAGAUAUCAGGAAGAACACCGAUGGCGAAGGCAAGCUUCUAUCCAUGGACUGACGCUGAGGCGCGAAAGCGUGGGGAGCGAACAGGAUUAGAUACCCUGGUAGUCCACGCUGUAAACGAUGUGCACUGGGUGUAGGGGGCGUUGAGCUCUCUGUGCCGUAGCUAACGCGUUAAGUGCACCGCCUGGGGAGUAUGCUCGCAAGGGUGAAACUCAAAGGAAUUGACGGGGGCCCGCACAAGCGGUGGAGCAUGUGGUUUAAUUCGACGAUACGCGAGGAACCUUACCAGGGCUUGACAUGUACUUGAAGGCUUAAGAGAUUAAGUCGACCUUUAGGGGACAGGUACACAGGUGCUGCAUGGCCGUCGUCAGCUCGUGUCGUGAGAUGUUGGGUUAAGUCCCGCAACGAGCGCAACCCUUACUGUCUGUUACCAGCAGGCCUUCGGGCGCUGGGGACUCAGGCAGAACUGCCGGUGACAAACCGGAGGAAGGUGGGGAUGACGUCAAGUCAUCAUGGCCCUUAUGUCCUGGGCUACACACGUGCUACAAUGGCAGGUACAAAGCGUUGCGAGACGGUGACGUCCUUAGCAAAUCGCAAAAAGCCUGUCUCAGUUCGGAUUGGAGUCUGAAACUCGACUCCAUGAAGUUGGAAUCGCUAGUAAUCGCGCAUCAGAAUGGCGCGGUGAAUAUGUUCCCGGGCCUUGUACACACCGCCCGUCACACCACCCGAGUUGGGGGUACCCGAAGUCGCUAGUCUAACUGUAAAGAGGACGGCGCCGAAGGUAUGCCUGGUAAGGGGGGUGAAGUCGUAACAAGGUA
This 1203-nucleotide ribosomal RNA is filed under the name metagenome. Its description in RNAcentral is "bacterial SSU rRNA". It matches the Rfam family "Bacterial small subunit ribosomal RNA", at positions 312 to 1498 of the family's 1533-position model. The record is from RNAcentral.